AGAGUUUGAUCCUGGCUCAGGAUGAACGCUGGCGGCGUGCCUAACACAUGCAAGUCGAGCGAUCUCUUCGGAGAGAGCGGCGGACGGGUGAGUAACGCGUGGGUAACCUGCCCUGUACACACGGAUAACAUACCGAAAGGUAUACUAAUACGGGAUAACAUAUGAAAGUCGCAUGGCUUUUGUAUCAAAGCUCCGGCGGUACAGGAUGGACCCGCGUCUGAUUAGCUAGUUGGUAAGGUAAUGGCUUACCAAGGCAACGAUCAGUAGCCGACCUGAGAGGGUGAUCGGCCACACUGGAACUGAGACACGGUCCAGACUCCUACGGGAGGCAGCAGUGGGGAAUAUUGCACAAUGGGCGAAAGCCUGAUGCAGCAACGCCGCGUGAGCGAUGAAGGCCUUCGGGUCGUAAAGCUCUGUCCUCAAGGAAGAUAAUGACGGUACUUGAGGAGGAAGCCCCGGCUAACUACGUGCCAGCAGCCGCGGUAAUACGUAGGGGGCUAGCGUUAUCCGGAAUUACUGGGCGUAAAAGGGUGCGUAGGUGGUUUUUUAAGUCAGAAGUGAAAGGCUACGGCUCAACCGUAGUAAGCUUUUGAAACUAGAGAACUUGAGUGCAGGAGAGGAGAGUAGAAUUCCUAGUGUAGCGGUGAAAAUGCGUAGAUAUUUAGGGAGGAAUACCAGUAGCGAAGGCGGCUCUCUGGACUGUAACUGACACUGAGGCACGAAAGCGUGGGGGGAGCAAACAGGGAUUAGAUACCCUGGUAGUCCCACGCCGUAAAACGAUGAGUACUAGGGUGUCGGGGGGUUACCCCCCUCGGUGCCGCAGCUAACGCAUUAAGUACUCCGCCUGGGAAGUACGCUCGCAAGAGUGAAACUCAAAGGAAUUGACGGGGACCCGCACAAGUAGCGGAGCAUGUGGUUUAAUUCGAAGCAACGCGAAGAACCUUACCUAAGCUUGACAUCCCACUGACCUCUCCCUAAUCGGAGAUUUCCCUUCGGGGACAGUGGUGACAGGUGGUGCAUGGUUGUCGUCAGCUCGUGUCGUGAGAUGUUGGGUUAAGUCCCGCAACGAGCGCAACCCUUGCCUUUAGUUGCCAGCAUUAAGUUGGGCACUCUAGAGGGACUGCCGAGGAUACUCGGAGGAAGGUGGGGAUGACGUCAAAUCAUCAUGCCCCUUAUGCUUAGGGCUACACACGUGCUACAAUGGGUGGGUACAGAGGGUUGCCAAGCCGCGAGGUGGAGCUAAUCCCUUAAAGCCAUUCUCAGUUCGGAUUGUAGGCUGAAACUCGCCUACAUGAAGCUGGAGUUACUAGUAAUCGCAGAUCAGAAUGCUGCGGUAGAAUGCGUUCCCGGGUCUUGUACACACCGCCCGUCACACCAUGGAAGUUGGGGGCGCCCGAAGCCGGUUAGCUAACCUUUUAGGAAGCGGCCGUCGAAGGUGAAACCAAUGACUGGGGUGAAGUCGUAACAAGGUAACC
Molecule: ribosomal RNA, 1475 nt
Filed under: Paraclostridium bifermentans
Lineage: Bacteria; Bacillati; Bacillota; Clostridia; Peptostreptococcales; Peptostreptococcaceae
Description: bacterial SSU rRNA
Rfam family: Bacterial small subunit ribosomal RNA
Source: RNAcentral